Molecule: long non-coding RNA, 497 nt
Filed under: Panax ginseng (ginseng)
Lineage: Eukaryota; Viridiplantae; Streptophyta; Magnoliopsida; Apiales; Araliaceae
Description: long non-coding RNA (PGIN_LNC001467)
Source: RNAcentral
GCUGGUGCCACCGUCGAGAGUACGGGUAUCCCUCCGGAGCAGUUCACUGAGAUUGUUCGGAUGGUGAUUACCUUACUACUGGAUGUGUUUGGGUCAUUGUUGAGUCAGCCCUCGACUACUCAGGUAUACUAUUUAUAAUAUAAUUCUAUUCUGCAUGUUAUGUAAUUUUCAUUUAAUUACUUAUCUUUAACUGUAUUAUAUAUAUGGACUAAUGAGUUACAUUAUAUUGUCUCAACAGGGUGACGAUCGGGCUGACGAUGCUGAUGAGCGGUUGGACGACGAUGGAGGCACGUGACAUAUAUAGUUUUGUUAUGCUUAAUGUGAUGUAAAUUUUAAUAAUUUAGCUGAUUUUUGAUGUAUUGUAGCUUUUAUUUAUCAUUACUUUAGUUUGACAUAUUUACGUUAGUUUAAAUGCAUAUUUGAUAUACUUUAGUUGAUUAGAACUUUAGUUUAAUGUCAUAUUCAAGUUGGCCUUGUAAUUAAUAUUUAUGUUGGUU